GCAAAAUGGCAACUAGGCCUGUUUACCUAGUUUUCAUCGGAUAUCACAACGCCUAAAUAAUAAGCUCAACAUGUACCUAUCGAAAUGUAAAGUGGUCCGUUUCCUGUGGAGCCAACAUUUGAGAUCUCUAGAUGAUUUAAAGGAGUUCGUUAUUUUGGAUAGAAA
This is a long non-coding RNA of Lingula anatina, 165 nucleotides long. The record is from RefSeq and is a predicted model, not a curated record. NCBI's taxonomy places the organism in Eukaryota, Metazoa, Brachiopoda, Lingulata, Lingulida, Lingulidae.